This 446-nucleotide long non-coding RNA is filed under the name Mus musculus (house mouse). RNAcentral describes it as "ilncRNA-EC12". The record is from RNAcentral. Lineage: Eukaryota; Metazoa; Chordata; Mammalia; Rodentia; Muridae.
UAAAAUAGAUACACACAUAAGAUGGUAACAUAGGAGACUGUCUAAAAUAGAUACACACAUAAGAUGGUAAUAUAGGAGACUGUCUAAAAUAGAUACAUACACACAUAAGAUGGUCAUAUAGGAGACUGUCUAAAAUAGAUACAUACACACAUAAGAUGGUCAUAUAGGAGACUGUCUAAAAUAGAUACAUACACACAUAAGAUGGUAAUAUAGGAGACUGUCUAAAAUAGAUACAUACACACAUAAGAUGGUAAUAUAGGAGACUGUCUAAAAUAGAUACAUACACACAUAAGAUGGUAACAUAGGAGACUGUCUAAAAUAGAUACAUACACACAUAAGAUGGUAACAUAGGAGACUGUCUAAAAUAGAUACAUACACAUAUAAGAUGGUAAUAUAGGAGACUGUCUAAAAUAGAUACAUACACAUAUAAGAUGGUAAUAUAGGAG